GGCGAAAGCCGGAUUAAUACCGCAUAAGCUCUGAGGAGGAAAGUGGGGGACCUUCGGGCCUCACGCUGAAGGAGCGGCCGAUGUCAGAUUAGCUAGUUGGUGGGGUAAAGGCCUACCAAGGCGACGAUCUGUAGCUGGUCUGAGAGGAUGAUCAGCCACACUGGAACUGAGACACGGUCCAGACUCCUACGGGAGGCAGCAGUGGGGAAUUUUGGACAAUGGGGGCAACCCUGAUCCAGCCAUGCCGCGUGCGGGAAGAAGGCCCUCGGGUUGUAAACCGCUUUCAGAUGGAAAGAAAUGGUGUAGGUUAAUAACCUGCAUUGAUGACGGUACCAUCAGAAGAAGCACCGGCUAACUACGUGCCAGCAGCCGCGGUAAUACGUAGGGUGCGAGCGUUAAUCGGAAUUACUGGGCGUAAAGCGUGCGCAGGCGGUUCUUUAAGACAGGUGUGAAAUCCCCGGGCUUAACCUGGGAAUUGCGCUUGUGACUGGAGGGCUAGAGUGUGGCAGAGGGGAAUGGAAUUCCUGGUGUAGCAGUGAAAUGCGUAGAUAUCAGGAGGAACACCGAUGGCGAAGGCAGU
Molecule: ribosomal RNA, 580 nt
Filed under: proteobacterium MS-B-56
Lineage: Bacteria; Pseudomonadati; Pseudomonadota
Description: bacterial SSU rRNA
Rfam family: Bacterial small subunit ribosomal RNA
Source: RNAcentral